AUGUGACUUUUUUGGAAUAUACCCUCGAAAGAUACUUUCUUUUUGGAUUUGAAAUAAUGCUUUUUCCAACAACAACAACCUAGUAUAACCCCACUUAUUGGGGUCUGAGAAGGGUAGUGUAUACGUAGAUCUUACCCCUACUCUAGGGUAGAAAGGCUAUUUCUAAAUAGACCCCCGGUAUCCUUUCCUCCAAGAACUUCCCACCUUGCUCUUGAGAAGACUCGAACUCAAAACUUCUCGAUUGAAAGUGGGGCUUGCUUACCAUCAUAGCAACCCCUCUUGUCAUUGAAAUAAUGCUUUUUCCAAUUAUCACAAUUCUUAUCUUCCUAUCAUUAACCAACACCUAUACGUUAUUAUAAAUAUACAAAAAUUUCAUCAAAACACUAUCUAUUUGAUUUGGUAAUAUCAAUCUUUAAUAUAUAAAUCCUUUUUCUAGAAAUAAUAUUUUCCACUCUCCAAUCAAAUAUUAUAAAAUAUUUUCAGCCAUACCCCACCCAAAGUUUCAGAAGCAUGUUUUUUUUUUUUUGUGAAGACCAAAUCUAAAUACUUUUUGAGUCAGAAAACAAUUCGAUGAACGUUUUUUCUCAAAAAAUAGCAUACAUAUAUUUUAUUUACAAAAGCAUCCUAGAAGAUAGUCCAAUUACAACAUUUAUCCUUAAUAAAGUUUUCCAAAAGAAAUAUUCAUAAAUAAUUAAAUCAAAACCAAAUUUAAAUGCGUAUACAGUCUAACUAACAAAGAUAGCCUUUUAUUCUUUUGAAUUUUCAUUUUUCUUUACCUUCGCCUGUCCAUUUAAAGAGCCUCACAGAAUGAGACGCUAAGGUAACUAAUAAGUUUAGAUGAUUGUGUCAUACUUCCCCUUUUUGGAACUGAACAUGAUAGUGUAGUUUAGGGGUGUACAUAGGCAUAGGUUGGGUUGCUUCGGAUAUUACAAUUAUCAAAUCAAAUUAAUUGAUUUUUCUCGGGUUUUCGGGUUAUUCAGGCUUUUUCAGAUUUUUUCCGGUAAAAUCUUCGUAGAACAAAACGUAUAACGUAUGCUCAAAAUAUUUCUUUAAUCCUAGUAAGAUACAUUAUAUAAAGUAUUUUCCAAGAAAAUAAUACAAAAUAUGAGAUGCGCCAUGACAUUAUCCUAUAAUAUUCAACAAUAAACACAAUAAAAUUAUGUCAUAUACAUAUUGCUAAUUAAAAAGCCAUAACAAAAGUAAACAUAAUCUAAAAUCACUAAGUCAUGCUAAAAAAAUAGACUAAUAAUAACUGUCUCUCCUUUUAGUUGUAUGCUACUUAGCACAAGAUCUUCAAACAUUUUGUAAUCUCACAACAUUCAGUAGUGUUAUUGACUAAACAGUCAACUUUAUGUUUUUUUUUUAAAAAUUCAAUUUCAAUACUAGUAUUAUUUUAUUAGAAGACACUGUUUUUAUAAGUAAAAUUAACAUUUUCAAUUUCGUGUUUAAUUAAAUACUACUGCCACACAUAAAAUGUAAUAGUUCGCACUCUACUCCUAUUCUGUAGCAUUUGCUGCUGUCAAUUUGUCAACUUUAUUUACACUAUUCCAACUUCAUGAUUGUUGCCAACAUUUGCUGCUGUCAAAUUGUAAACUUUACUUUCACUAUUUGCUACUCAUGUCCCACCUCUAACCUACACUAUUCUCACAUUCCACCUAAUUUGCUACUAUUUCUUUUUCUGUUUUCUUUCCUAUAUUUUCUUGAAGAAUAAUUGGAUUUAUGGAGUGAUAUAUAAUGUGAGGAGAAUCAGCUUUUCCAUAUUUUUUCUAUACUCUAUUGGUAUCUGAGACGCACUUGAUGUUGAAGUUAGGAGAAUAUAGAAAAAGAUCUCCUUUUUUUUUCUAGAUUUCUGGCGUAAUUAUAAUUUCUGUACAUGAACUUUAAUAAAUUGAUAUUACAACAUGGAGUACAUAAGAUUGCAUAAUGAAUAUAAGUACACGAGUCGUUACAAAAUUAAAUAUCACUGAACUACUGCUUAGCAAGUAGUACAAGUACUUUGGUAUCUUCUUUGCUCGUCUUCCUUUUUUACACUUUUUCUUCUAAUUUUAUGAAUUAUAAGAGGUAUGUAACUCUACUGUUCCAUACAGGGGUGUAUUAAGGGUGGGAAUUGAUCAAUUCGAUUCAAUUGUGAAUGUUAUCGGUUUAACAUAUCGGUUAAUAAGAUAUCGGUUAUCAAUUAAUCAGUAAUCAAUCAUUAUCGGUUCGGUUAUCGAUUUAUUCAAUAAGAUAAUUCAAUCUCGUUUCUCAACGAAAGAAGUAAUGAAAGAUAAUAUAAACUGUAUAAAGAAUAUAAUAAACUUUCUCGAUUAUUAUAAGUCUCUCAAAGAAUAUAAUAAACCUUACAAGAUUGUUAUGUAUGUGCUGAAUGAUAAAUUUGGGAGGGGUUAGAAGAGUAUACAGAGAAUUGGAAGAAUUGGAAAAAUUAUACACCUAAGGGUAAAAUCAUAUUUUUAUAAAAGUUAUUGGGUUAUCGGUUAAACUGCUAAAAAAAUUGGACAAAUUGAGGCCCGAACCGAUAACCCAAUAAUAAAAUAACACUAAACCAUUACCGAACCGUUAGCCCAAUAACCCAAUACUGAUGUAAAAGAAGAAUUUAUGUUAAAUUUCAUUAAAUUUGUCCAAGAUCAUGUUUUAGAGCUAAGUCCAAACAUAUGGACUUAUUUUCAAGAAGCGCAAGAAGUCCAAAAACCUCAAGAUUGAUUUCAAGAAGCAAAGAUUCUUUCCUUCUUAAAAUAUGAUUUAUUUUAUUCCUUUUAGAAUAAGAAUUUUCCUUUUAGUACAAUUCUAUUUUCUUUUCCUUGUAUAAUAGGGAUUUUACUUUCCUUGUGUUAGUUAUCUUAUUUUCUUAUUAGAAUAGGGAUUAUAAUUAUCAAAGGAGAGACUAGGUCUAUAUAAAUAGUUCUUUUGCCUUGUAGAAAAGAUUUUCACGUUUUUUGAGGCUUGUCAUAAUUUUACAAUAGAGUAUUUUUUCUAUUUUGUCUUCUUUAUCCUUAUUUUUUGUUCCAAGCAAGGUGGUGAUAGUCUUUAUCUUAUUUUUAAUUGUGUAUAGUAUUUCUUUAUCGCGUUAAUUGAUUCCAAGUGGUGACUUCAGGGACUUGUUUAGUUCUUGAUCUUUCAAGAACACGUUUCUUGAUCUACAUUUGUUCUUCUGAUAUCAUAAAAUCAUAACUUUCAUUGAACUGGUACAACAUCAAUAUUUACUUGUUUUGAACGAGUAAAUAGUCUUUCGUAUAUUUCAUAUCGUCAUCUUUCACCUCGUUUCUGAAUCAUUAGAUUCCGAGUCGUAAAACUUGAGAUAAGUUGCUUCUUGAAAUCGACCCACAAACCACAUUUUCGUUUCAAGAUCUUCUUUGUUAACUCUAAGAAUCACAACAAGUACCUAUUACCUAAUAAAACUUUUUUCAGUUUGGGAUAUUGAUUUUACGCGAUAUAUGCCAGCCCUAGGGUGUAUAUAGCAUUAUGACCGGAUGCAAAAUCUAAUAAAAUUAUAAUAAAUGGUAGAUAUGAACCCAUAGCUCUAAAAAUAUAAUGAGUUUAAUGUUAAAAAUUUAAAAUUAAAUUAUAGGAUUUAAAUCCCGAAUCCGCCUCUGAAUCUGUAUGUAUCUUUAUGUUGAAGUCAGAAAGUAUUUUAAUAGGAGGAAAAAGGAGUGAGAGUCAUGGGUUCGAACUUAUCAAGUGGAAACUAAACCACUUGGGCUCCCUCUCUAUCAUACUCAAUUGAAAAGGAAAACCCCAAAAUUCGUAUCUCAAAUAAAUAAUGUUAUCUUAACUGUACAAUUGGAAUGUCAAAUGCUCAUUUUCUGUCUGAGCAUGACAAGAUAAUCACAAAGAACAGACGGCUAAGUUUUUAUUAUUGGUAAUGGCGUGAACUCGAGCUAUAUAUAUAUAUGAUAAUGUUUAAAAUAUAUGAGUCUUGGUGGGUUGUGGAAGCAGGGAAAAUCUACUAAACCAACUAUAGGCCACAUCUCAGUACGUACUUUCCAUUUCCAACUUUCUAGUGUUAGCCCUAUGAGUAGUGGAGAUGUGACUUUUUUGGAAUAUACCCUCGAAAGAUACUUUCUUUUUGGAUUUGAAAUAAUGCUUUUUCCAACAACAACAACCUAGUAUAACCCCACUUAUUGGGGUCUGAGAAGGGUAGUGUAUACGUAGAUCUUACCCCUACUCUAGGGUAGAAAGGCUAUUUCUAAAUAGACCCCCGGUAUCCUUUCCUCCAAGAACUUCCCACCUUGCUCUUGAGAAGACUCGAACUCAAAACUUCUCGAUUGAAAGUGGGGCUUGCUUACCAUCAUAGCAACCCCUCUUGUCAUUGAAAUAAUGCUUUUUCCAAUUAUCACAAUUCUUAUCUUCC
Molecule: long non-coding RNA, 4348 nt
Filed under: Nicotiana benthamiana
Lineage: Eukaryota; Viridiplantae; Streptophyta; Magnoliopsida; Solanales; Solanaceae
Description: long non-coding RNA (NBEN_LNC007293)
Source: RNAcentral